CCUACGGGUGGCAGCAGUGGGGAAUAUUGGACAAUGGGGGAAACCCUGAUCCAGCGACGCCGCGUGAGUGAAGAAGUAUUUCGGUACGUAAAGCUCUAUCAGCAGGAAAGAAAAUGACGGUACCUGACUAAGAAGCUCCGGCUAACUACGUGCCAGCAGCCGCGGUAAUACGUAGGGGGCAAGCGUUAUCCGGAUUUACUGGGUGUAAAGGGAGCGUAGGCGGACGCGCAAGUCAGGAGUGAAAGGCCGGGGCCCAACCGCGGAACUGCAGUGGAGACUGUGAAGCUGGAGUGCAGGAGAGGUAGGCGGAAUUCCUGGUGUAGCGGUGAAAUGCGUAGAUAUCAGGAAGAACACCGACGGCGAAGGCAGCUUACUGGACUGUAACUGACGUUGAGGCUCGAAGGCGUGGGGAGCAAACAGGAUUAGAUACCCUGGUAGUC
This 440-nucleotide ribosomal RNA is filed under the name uncultured bacterium. RNAcentral describes it as "partial 16S ribosomal RNA". It matches the Rfam family "Bacterial small subunit ribosomal RNA", at positions 338 to 795 of the family's 1533-position model. The record is from RNAcentral.